GACGAACCGUGCAAACGUUAUUCGGAAUCACUGGGCUUAAAGCGCACGUAGGCGGCACUGUAAGUGUCGGGUGAAAUCCCACGGCUCACCCGUGGAACUGCCCGGCAGACUGUGGUGCUCGAGUGUGGUAGGGGAGAGCGGAACUCCUGGUGGAGCGGUGAAAUGCGUAGAUAUCAGGAGGAACACCGGUGGCGAAGGCGGCUCUCUGGUCCACAACUGACGCUGAGGUGCGAAAGCUAGGGGAGCAAACGGG
RNAcentral lists this ribosomal RNA (253 nucleotides) under uncultured bacterium. RNAcentral describes it as "partial 16S ribosomal RNA". It matches the Rfam family "Bacterial small subunit ribosomal RNA", at positions 524 to 776 of the family's 1533-position model. The record is from RNAcentral.